CCCACGGUGUUGUGCUUACUACAGUUAAAAACCCACGGUGCUGUGCUUCUUACAGUUAAAACCCUAAAAUCCUACGGUGUUGUGUUUAUCGCAGUUAAAAACCCACGGCGUUGUGUAUAUUCGUGCUCAUUGCAGUUAAAAACCUAAAAAUCUACGGUGUUGUGCUCAUUGCAGAUAAAAAUCCGCAAUGGUUAUUGUUGGUUUUGUGUUGUGGUUAUUGCAGUUAAAGACCCACGGCAAUGUUUAUUUGUGCUUAUUGCAGUUAAAAACCUAAAAAACCCACGGUGCUGUGUAUAUUGCAGUUAAAAACCUAUGGUGCUGCGACUAAUGCAGUUAAAAACCCACGGCGUUGUAUUUAUUACAAAAUCAGUUAAAAACCACGGAAUCAGAAAUCAGAAACCCACGGUGUUAUGUUUAUCACAGAAUCAGAAACCCACGGCGUUUUUUGUUUUUUAUUGCAGAAUUAAAAUCGCCACGGUGUUGUGUCUAUUACGGAAUCAGAAACCCACGGUGCUGUUUUUUAUUGCAGAUUAACAAACCACGGUGUUGUGUUUAUUGCAGAAUCAGAAAACCACGGUGCUGUUCUUUAUUGCAGAUUUAAAAACUCACGGUGUUGUGUUUAUUACAGAAUCAGAAACCCAAGAGCUAAAAACCCACGAUGUUGUGUUUAUUACAGAAUCAGAAACCCAAGAGCUAAAAAACCCACGGUGUUGUGUUUAUUACAGAAUCAGAAACCCAAGAGCUAAAAACCCACGGUGUUGUGUUUAUUACAGAAUCAGAAACCCAAGGCACUGUUUUUAUUGCAAAUUGCUGUAUGAUUACAGAGUAAAAAAAAAAAAAAAAAAAAAAAAAACUACAGUGCUUUAUUAAUUACAGCAAGAGAGGCCUUCGGAGUUGUGUGGGUCAGGUGUCAGAAGACAUGUCCUUUGCUGGAAAUAGCUGCUGAGCCCAAGAAGGGAUGGAGGUGGAAACGGGAACAGCUGGAGACGUGGAUAAACAACGAAGAGAAGAGAAAUAUACAAGUACCAGGCUGUGAGCGACGAAAUGUGUGACGAAAAGUCAUCACCCACACUAGAUGCAUCUGAUCCUGUUGUGGCACCACGGAACCCCGUCUUAUUGGCUGAAGUCCCGACACAUGGUGAUGACUCCUUGGCGUUGAUGCCCAGUACUGGAAGGUGCCAUCAGUAUCCUUACGGAAGCUGUGCAGAGGAUGUGCAGUGACAUCUUCACAUGGCAUUUCUGCGGCAUCUUUGCCUAUUUACAGUGCAGUGGAGAUUACCGUGUGUGGGACAUAGAGUUUUGGGGGAUCUUUACCUGAUGAUUUUCUGUCCAUUGAUCCUGACAGAUAUAUAAUACAGAGUCAGUUAUAUUAUACUAAAGCUUGUUUUGCUGAGCACUGGAGAGGUUUUUCAUCUCGGCGCCCAAUGUCCUAGGAGGAAUCCAAGUUCUGUGGACACACAGGGUUGUAUUCUCUCCCUGUGGUUAGGGACGUGGAGUUUUUUCCCUUGUCCAGCAGCAAUACAGCUAAAGAGAGACAGUUGAAGUCAUCUCGAAAUCAUUAGGGAGGAGACCUUGUACUCAUUGUUGAACAGCACACUCCCAGGGACCAGUGGAGGCUUGGGAGAGUGAUGGGGGCUAUAGGUGGUGAAGAUGGUCUCGUGAGAAUGGCCAAAGUUUUAUAAUCCUCAUCAGACCACUGUGAAGUUAUGCCUCUUGGAAGCAUCAUUAUCCAGAACGACGGGAUUAUAUGUUGCUCCACAGCGGAGCAAAGGGGGGAGUGUAGCCGCUGGUAUAUCAUGUACUUCAUAUCAGCAGCUGGUAUAUCAUAUAUUUCGUUUAUCACGUAUUCUGUAACAAUACGGAGAGGCCUGUAUGGUAUAAAUUUAUCUUCUGUGUCAUAACCGCUGGGAAGGCGACGGCGAGUACCACCGGGUCAACACAUGGUCUGCAUCAGCCGUAAGAGCUGACCUGUCAAGAAACGUGUUUGUGUGAGGGGUCGUGCCAUAGGAAGUGGUGACGGCUCUUCAGAUGAUCGAUGCUGUGAGAUAGCAAGACCGCGACCUAACUAAUGUAUAACAUGUGAAGUUGAAUGUUACUUGGCGUCGUAGCCUGUGUAUGUUUAUAGUGUGAGGGCAGUUCGAGGGGAACCUCUGUGCCGUCGAGACGCCCAUACCAUUCUGGAAUCAGACCAAUAAGCUGAUAUUCUGACUGUUCCCGCAAUGCGUUUGACCGCUACUGAAUAAACCUUGAGCGAGUGCUA
Long non-coding RNA from Penaeus indicus, 2260 nucleotides. RefSeq lists it as uncharacterized. The transcript is spliced from 2 exons. The record is from RefSeq and is a predicted model, not a curated record. Lineage: Eukaryota; Metazoa; Arthropoda; Malacostraca; Decapoda; Penaeidae.